RNAcentral lists this ribosomal RNA (253 nucleotides) under uncultured bacterium. RNAcentral describes it as "partial 16S ribosomal RNA". It matches the Rfam family "Bacterial small subunit ribosomal RNA", at positions 524 to 776 of the family's 1533-position model. The record is from RNAcentral.
UACGGAGGGUGCAAGCGUUAUCCGGAUUCACUGGGUUUAAAGGGAUCGCAGGCGGAUUGGUAAGUGAGUGGUGAAAGCCUUAAGCUUAACUUGGGAACUGCCAUUGAUACUAUCAGUCUUGAAUAUUGUUGAGGUUUGCGGAAUGGGUCAUGUAGCGGUGAAAUGCAUAGAUAUGACCCGGAACACCUAAUGCGAAGGCAGCAGGCUGAGCCAAGAUUGACGCUGAGGCUCGAAAGCGUGGGGAUCAAACAGG